CCUACGGGGUGCAGCAGUGGGGAAUAUUGGGCAAUGGACGCAAGUCUGACCCAGCAACGCCGCGUGAAGGAAGAAGGCUUUCGGGUUGUAAACUUCUUUUAAGGGGGAAGAGCAGAAGACGGUACCCCUUGAAUAAGCCACGGCUAACUACGUGCCAGCAGUCGCGGUAAUACGUAGGUGGCAAGCGUUGUCCGGAUUUACUGGGUGUAAAGGGCGUGCAGCCGGGAAGACAAGUCAGAUGUGAAAUCCUGCGGCUCAACCGCGGAACUGCAUUUGAAACUGUUUUUCUUGAGUAUCGGAGGGGAAGUCGGAAUUCCUGGGGUAGCGGUGAAAUGCGUAGAUAUUAGGAAGAACACCGGUGGCGAAGGCGGAUUACUGGACGGCAACUGACGGUGAGGCGCGAAAGCGUGGGGAGCAAACAGGAUUAGAUACCCCAGUAGUC
RNAcentral lists this ribosomal RNA (442 nucleotides) under uncultured bacterium. Its description in RNAcentral is "partial 16S ribosomal RNA". It matches the Rfam family "Bacterial small subunit ribosomal RNA", at positions 338 to 795 of the family's 1533-position model. The record is from RNAcentral.